Molecule: ribosomal RNA, 120 nt
Filed under: Microcebus murinus (gray mouse lemur)
Lineage: Eukaryota; Metazoa; Chordata; Mammalia; Primates; Cheirogaleidae
Source: RNAcentral
GUCUACGGCCAUAUCACCCUGAACCAGCCCGAUCUCGUCUGAUCUAGAAAGCUAAGCAAGGUCAGGCCUGGUUAGUACUUGGAUGGGAGAUAAGGCUGGGAAAAAAAAAGGUUUCAUUCU